AGGAGUCCGGCAUGGCUCCGGCGUGCGCCACCAGGACACGGCACGAGGUUUGCCCUGUGCGACCAGACCGUGGCAGGACAGCCCCCGGCUCCCCGCCUUCCACGGAGGGGUCACGGCCAGGCCCUGCCAGGCUACCUGCUUCCCCGGGGCCCUGCCCAGGCUGGAGCCCCACUGCUCGGGCCCCUCUUCCCCGAGGGUGGUGGGUGCUCGUGCCCCCCCGACCCCCCAGCUGGAGCAUCCCGCCCACCCUGGGCCCCCCCAGCUCAGGGCGCAGACGCAGUCCAGGGAGGCCUCGGAGGUCACCAGACGGGGACGAUAUGCUGGACGAACCACAUCCCCAAUAUCAAAUACAGGAUUUUAGGGGAACCUUGGACUCCUAGAGAAGAGGUACGUUUGAGAUGAGUAGAAGGAAAGGCUGUUCCACACGGCGGACGGCAAGUCUGCAGAAGGCGCCCGUAGGAGCCAUUCGAAAUGGGACCUGCUCUCCCGAGGGGCCUGUGCUCCCCCGGGCCAGACUCUGGCCUGGAACAGCUGCUGAGACCAGGGCUGGUGUAGACGGGAGCGGGCUCGUCAGGCCCCCGGGAGCCCCGCUGACUGCCGCCCGGACGCAUCCCCAGGGCCUCAGACUCCUGUGAGGAAUUUGUUAAAAGGAGAAGCUCUGGUGCCACCUGCUGCUUUCAGCCUGCAGCUGGCUCCUCGCGGGCCCCUACAGGGACAGCCUGGAAGCCAGGCUCCACCCAGAGACCAGAGGGAGGAAGCUCAGGCCCCCACGAGACGGCCCCCCUGGAGCCCAGGGGACGAGCACAGAGGUAUCGCAGCGCCAAAUGGCGAAUCCAGCCCCGACUCCAACAGGGACAGACGCUACUCAAAGUGUUCUGGCGGCAGGUGGAACCGGCCCCAUCGUUCCCCGGGACUCACCCUUAAUUCAUCACAAAAGGAGUGACUUCAGGAUGGGGUAUCAGUGCUCCCCGCAGAGCUCCCGGGGCCUCCUCGCAUCACCCCACAUCUGCCUGGCCCGGAGGGUGGGGCAUCCUGAAGAAGGUUCCAGAAGCAAGGCCAGCUACCCCCCUGCCCCGCGGCUGCACUGUCUGAGCCCGCCUGAACCGCCGAGGUCACUGCUGCAGGAGCCCGUGUCCUGGACUCGACGGGCCACCCUGCCCCUCACCGCCCCCCCCAGGGUUGGCCGGGAACCAGGAGCUGCUUCCCCAGGCACAGGGGGAGCCUCUGCAGGAGGCUGAGCGCCCCCCUGCCCCCAUCCCCCGGGCGCACAAAG
Molecule: long non-coding RNA, 1273 nt
Filed under: Canis lupus familiaris (dog)
Lineage: Eukaryota; Metazoa; Chordata; Mammalia; Carnivora; Canidae
Description: lncRNA (ENSCAFG00040009033.1)
Source: RNAcentral